This 475-nucleotide ribosomal RNA is filed under the name uncultured organism. RNAcentral's name for it is "partial 16S ribosomal RNA". It matches the Rfam family "Bacterial small subunit ribosomal RNA", at positions 335 to 801 of the family's 1533-position model. The record is from RNAcentral.
ACUCCUACGGGAGGCAGCAGUGGGGAAUUUUGGACAAUGGGCGAAAGCCUGAUCCAGCCAUGCCGCGUGCAGGAUGAAGGCCUUCGGGUUGUAAACUGCUUUUGUACGGAACGAAACGGCCUUUUCUAAUAAAGAGGGCUAAUGACGGUACCGUAAGAAUAAGCACCGGCUAACUACGUGCCAGCAGCCGCGGUAAUACGUAGGGUGCAAGCGUUAAUCGGAAUUACUGGGCGUAAAGCGUGCGCAGGCGGUUAUGUAAGACAGUUGUGAAAUCCCCGGGCUCAACCUGGGAACUGCAUCUGUGACUGCAUAGCUAGAGUACGGUAGAGGGGGAUGGAAUUCCGCGUGUAGCAGUGAAAUGCGUAGAUAUGCGGAGGAACACCGAUGGCGAAGGCAAUCCCCUGGACCUGUACUGACGCUCAUGCACGAAAGCGUGGGGAGCAAACAGGAUUAGAAACCCUUGUAGUCCCAUGAU